This 228-nucleotide long non-coding RNA is filed under the name Elaeis guineensis (African oil palm). RNAcentral's name for it is "long non-coding RNA (EGUI_LNC021765)". Lineage: Eukaryota; Viridiplantae; Streptophyta; Magnoliopsida; Arecales; Arecaceae. The record is from RNAcentral.
CCCCUCCCCGACAGCCCAUGCCUCCUCCGAGCUACCACCACCCCUCUAACCCUUCUGGUGGUCUGCGACUCCUCCGUCCUCUUCUUUCGCCUAUGGUGUCCGUGCCUCCUUUACCUCUCACCCAUCCACCUAUAGUCCAAGCCAACCCGCGACCCACCUCGGCCCAUGGCUUCACCACGCCGUAGUUGCCACACAUCUUGCCCUUGGCGGCCCAUGGCUUCUCGAGCC